GCCAUUUUGCCUCUCAGUGUUCAAGCUUGAGCCCACGCAUCCAACUCCUGAGAUCUUACUGGGAAGCUGCUGAUCAUCAGUUUCAGGAAGUCAGCAUGGAUCAGCCUUACGUUCAUGGCCUCCAGGCCCUAUUCUCCUGCCUCACAGGGACCGGCCAGGAUCUCUAUCCUUACAGCACGUUGGAAUGUAUAUGCUCCUCUCCCCACAUCGCCUUAGGGAGCAGGCAGGUGUCAGGGGCAGCACAAGGACGGCCAACAGGACAGAAGACGGGUUGAAGAUCCGAGAGGCUGAGUCACUUCCACAAAGUAACACAGCUGACUAGAACACUUGAGGACUUCAAUCUACUGACAUUUAGAUUGCCUUGGGAGAACAGCCAGCAAUUCUUACACCCACAGAUUUUAAAUGCCUGCAUUCAGCAUCCCUGCAGCAGGCUCCAGGUGGAAUUCUAAUGGGACCAGCCUCCAGUCCCUGGACCUUAGCCGUGGAAGGAGAGAAGAGGACAUCUGCACCUCCUCUCAGAGAAAGCCUGAUGCCUACUAAAGGACUUGGGUGGUGGACGCAGUGACCCUCAGUCUGGAGCUUGUUCACUGAACAUUGGAGACUAUCAUUUGCGCAGAUGGUCUUGGGCCUCUAUGAGCAGCAGGCUGCACCCCACAGUGACCUCCUCAUUCUACUCUGAGGCAUCUUCAUGAAAGCAGAUGUCCAUUGAAAAGCACCCAAGUGCAGUCUCAGCUGAUGAACUUCAGAGGCGAUUGAGACAAAGGCUCUCGGUCCCCUCUGCCCUUGGAUGGUGCCUCUGGUAUGCACUUGGCCUCUGUGUCUUUAUUUAGACUGGUCACUUCACAACCCAUCAUGUCACCCCACCCCUAACCGUGCCCACUCUGGGUCCUCCCCUCAACUGCCUGACUUCCCACUUUGAGCUCAGCAAAGGCAAUAGAUGUUUUGUCUGCUUC
This is a long non-coding RNA of Homo sapiens (human), 953 nucleotides long. Ensembl annotates it as long intergenic non-protein coding RNA 2318. The record is from Ensembl. Lineage: Eukaryota; Metazoa; Chordata; Mammalia; Primates; Hominidae.